RNAcentral lists this ribosomal RNA (301 nucleotides) under uncultured bacterium. Its description in RNAcentral is "partial 16S ribosomal RNA". It matches the Rfam family "Bacterial small subunit ribosomal RNA", at positions 509 to 809 of the family's 1533-position model. The record is from RNAcentral.
CAGCCGCCGCGGUAACACGUAGGGUGCGAGCGUUAAUCGGAAUUACUGGGCGUAAAGCGUGCGCAGGCGGUUCGUUAAGACAGAUGUGAAAUCCCCGGGCUUAACCUGGGAACUGCAUUUGUGACUGGCGAGCUAGAGUAUGGCAGAGGGGGGUAGAAUUCCACGUGUAGCAGUGAAAUGCGUAGAGAUGUGGAGGAAUACCGAUGGCGAAGGCAGCCCCCUGGGCCAAUACUGACGCUCAUGCACGAAAGCGUGGGGAGCAAACAGGAUUAGAUACUCCCGUAGUCCCUGUCUCUUAUAA